AGACUGCACCCAGUAAUAACACGAAGUUCACCCAUAUUUCUUAUCAACGAGUAUAAAUGACUGAACUCGCUCAGAGGGGCCACUAUCUGUACUUCAGCUCAGCCAAGAUGUCUCCUUUCACCGUUCUGUGCCUCUUUGUCGUCGUCGUUGCCGCUAUGGCACAAGACACAACAACAGCCAAGGGUUUUCUCUGCAAUGAUGACCGCGACUGUGAUCGCCACUGUGCGGGAACACGUGGCUUCUGUAGCAAAGAGGACAACAUGUGCCACCACUGCGAGGCUUCCACGCCUUCUUCCUGCAACUCUGAACUGGACUGUCUGAGGAGUUGCCGUCACAACCACGAGCUGUUUGGUAUUUGUUACCACGGGAACUGCAGAUGUUCCCACUUCGGAUAAACAUGUAGAAGGACGGAAAUUGUGUGGGUGUCUCGUCAAUGUAACAGCAUUGUACAAACCUAAUCUAACUAAAUUGUUGUUUGAUAAUA
Long non-coding RNA from Liolophura sinensis, 484 nucleotides. RefSeq lists it as uncharacterized. Lineage: Eukaryota; Metazoa; Mollusca; Polyplacophora; Chitonida; Chitonidae. The transcript has 3 exons. The record is from RefSeq and is a predicted model, not a curated record.